GAUGAACGCUGGCGGCGUGCUUAACACAUGCAAGUCGAACGGAAAGGCCCUGCUGGCAGUGUACUCGAGUGGCGAACGGGUGAGUAACACGUGGGUGAUCUGCCCUGUACUUUGGGAUAAGCCUGGGACACUGGGUCUAAUACCGAAUAUGACAAUUGUUUGGAUGCGAUUGUGCAAAGCUUUUGCGGUAUGGGAUGAGCUCGCGGCCUAUCAGCUUGUUGGUGGGGUAAUGGCCUACCAAGGCGUCGACGGGUAGCCGGCAUGAGAGGGUGUACGGCCACAGUGGGAAUGGGAUACGGCCCAGACUCCUACGGGAGGCAGCAGGGGGGAAUAGGGCAUAAUGGGCGCAAGCCUGAUGCAGCGACGCCGCGUGGGGGAUGACGGCCUUCGGGUUGUAAUCUCCUUUCGCAACCGACGAAGCCUUUUGGUGACGGUAGGUGGAGAAGAAGCACCGGCUAACUACGUG
RNAcentral lists this ribosomal RNA (466 nucleotides) under uncultured bacterium. RNAcentral's name for it is "partial 16S ribosomal RNA". It matches the Rfam family "Bacterial small subunit ribosomal RNA", at positions 28 to 507 of the family's 1533-position model. The record is from RNAcentral.